Molecule: long non-coding RNA, 1240 nt
Filed under: Gallus gallus (chicken)
Lineage: Eukaryota; Metazoa; Chordata; Aves; Galliformes; Phasianidae
Description: lncRNA (ENSGALG00010000672.1)
Source: RNAcentral
GUGGGGAUGAAUGGGGAUGAAUGGGGGCAGGUGGAGAUGAAUGGGGGCAGAUGAGGGCAUAUGGGGACACAGCGAUGAAGGGGGGCAGGUGGGGACAGAUGGGGGCAGGUGGGGGCAGGUGGAGAUGAAUGGGGAUGGAUGGGGGCAGAUGGGGGCAGGUGGGGAUAGAUGAGGAUGGAUGAAUGGGGAUGGAUGGGGAGAAAUGGGUAUGAAUAGGGGCAGGUGGAGAUGAAUGGGGGCAGAUGGGGAUGAAUGGGGGCAGACGGGGGCAAGUGGAGAUGAAUGGGGGCAGAUGGGGACAGAUGGGGGCAGGUGGGGAUGAAUGGGGAUGAAUGGAGGCAGGUGGGGAUCAAUGAGGAUGGAUGAAUGGGGAUGGAUGGGGAUGAAUGGGGGCAGGUGGGGAUGAAUGGGGAUGGAUGGGGGCAGGUGGGGAUGAAUGGGGAUGAAUGGAGAUAAAUAGGGGCAGAUGAGGGCAUAUGGGGACAUGGGGAUGGAUGGGGGCGUAUGUGGACAGGUGGGAGCAGGAGGGCAUGAAUGGGGAUGAAUGGGGACAGAUGGGGACGUAUGGGGUCAGAGAAGGAUGUAUGGGAGCAUAUGGGGAUAUAUGGGGCCAGAUGGGGAUGUAUGGGGUCAGAUAAAGGCGUAUGGGGACGUAUGGACACAGGUGGGGACAGAAAAGGAUAUAUGGGGAUGGGGGGGGACAGAUGGGAGCAUAUAGGGACAGGUGGGGACAGGAGGGCAUGAAUGGGGAUGAAUGGGGACAGAUGGGAACGUAUGGGGUCAGAGGGAGAUGUAUGGGAACGUACGGUGAUGUAUGGGGUCAGACGGGGAUGAAUGGGGCCACAGGCAGUUGGGGAGGUGGGGGGGACACCAAUGGGACGUAUAGGAACGCGUGGGGACGUGGAUGGGCCAUAUGGGGUCCCCCGCACUCACCUGGGGGUCUCCGGGUUCCCACGUGGGGUCUUCGGGUUCCUCCUUCAGCCCCGGUGACACCUUUGGGGGGGGGGGGGGGGGGGACACAACACGGCGGUGAUGUGGGGGUCCCAAACCCCACAGUGCCCCAUUGAGAGCCCACAGUCCCCCAUGGGAUCUCCAGGGUCCCCAAUAGGGCCAUCCCCCUCCCCAGCGGUGGCCCCAAAUGCCCCCCCAUGACUCCAUAUCCCCAGCGAUGACCCCGGGUGUUCCCAUAUCCCCCCGUGACCCAUAGCCCCCCAUACCCACCCACGUCCCCAUAGCCCCC